RNAcentral lists this ribosomal RNA (104 nucleotides) under uncultured bacterium. RNAcentral describes it as "partial 16S ribosomal RNA". It matches the Rfam family "Bacterial small subunit ribosomal RNA", at positions 1378 to 1482 of the family's 1533-position model. The record is from RNAcentral.
CCGUUGUACACACCGCCCGUCACACCAUGGAGCGGGUUCUGCCAGAAGUGGUUAGCCUAACCGCAAGGAGGGCGAUUACCACGGCAGGGUUCGUGACUGGGGUG